Molecule: small RNA, 27 nt
Filed under: Bombyx mori (domestic silkworm)
Lineage: Eukaryota; Metazoa; Arthropoda; Insecta; Lepidoptera; Bombycidae
Description: ovarian small RNA-434
Source: RNAcentral
UACACGAUGAACAAUUGUCGCUGGUUC